RNAcentral lists this ribosomal RNA (119 nucleotides) under Pteropus alecto (black flying fox). Lineage: Eukaryota; Metazoa; Chordata; Mammalia; Chiroptera; Pteropodidae. The record is from RNAcentral.
GUCUAUAGCCAUGGUACCCUGAACAAAUCUGAACCCAUCUAAUCUCAGAAGCUAAGCAGAGCUGGGCCUGGUUAGUACUUGGAUGAGAAACCACCUAGGAAGACCAGGUGCUGUAGGUG